CAGAUGAGACAGUUUCGUCUUCUUCUGUUGCCAUGAGCUCCAUCAGCAGCUUGUCUCUUCUGCUCGUUUGUCAGUGCAUGUUCAUAGCAGUGAAUCCUGUGGGGUCAGCUGAUCCUGGCAGCAGCACCAGCCUGUGGGGCAAGAAGCUGAAGUUCGGAGGCCCUCCCUGUCUGUGGCAACUUCAACCACAUGUUGUUAUCCCAGCCCUGAAGGAGCUGAGCGUAUGCGUGUCUUUGAAGCGCAAUUAUACAACGGAAUGGCGGGCGUUUGUCUACAAAGCUUCAAAAAACGCUGGCAUUGAGCUGGGGCUUGGGGGCGCAGGCCCGCAAAUUACAGUGUGGAUGUUUGGACGGCAGUGGCACUUCCUCAAGUGGCUGAAGCUGAAUGAGUGGCACUCCAUCUGUCUGACCUGGUCCAGCAGAGCUCGGCGGCUCAGAGUCUACAUCAAUGGACUGGUCCAGCUGGAGUCACCCCUGUACCCCUCUCUCCCUCUUCAGCUGGCUGAAAACGGCACUCUCACUCUGGGGAUGUCUCAUUAUGUUGCUCCUGAUAACCAGGUCAGACCAGAAAGUGGGAGUAAUCUGCUGGGUGAGAUUGGUUUGUUUAGAAUGUGGAGCACGGAGUGGAGCGCUCAGGAGCUGUGGGGCUUGGGCUGCGCAGACGGGGACGUGCUGGGCUGGGAUCAGCGGCAGUGGAAGAACACCUGCCCUCCUGAACCCGACCACAACCUCCACUGCCUAUGGUCCCAUUACAAGAUCAAAAUGUGGGUCUCCAUAUUUGAUACUGCGAACCGUGGAAACUGCUCACUGCCACUGGAGAAAAUUACACGAAACUGGGUACAAAGAUCUGCCUGAACUGUUUUACUUGUCUGCUAAGACUUCUAACCCUUGUUUUAAUUUUCCUUUUUCUUGUUUUAGUUAAAAAGAAUUUUUCCUUCAUUCAUUUCAAUCCAGAACCUUUCUGUGUCACUCCCAAGGUAUGUAAAGAACCAAUUACAGCCAUAAAAAAACUGUUCAAAGACUAAAAGUAACACAUUAAAAACAUAAUUUAAAUUACAUUUUCAUGGAGCUUUUUCAUAAAUUU
This 1083-nucleotide long non-coding RNA is filed under the name Oryzias javanicus (javanese ricefish). RNAcentral's name for it is "lncRNA (ENSOJAG00000004507.1)". Lineage: Eukaryota; Metazoa; Chordata; Actinopteri; Beloniformes; Adrianichthyidae. The record is from RNAcentral.